This 21-nucleotide non-coding RNA is filed under the name Caenorhabditis elegans. Lineage: Eukaryota; Metazoa; Nematoda; Chromadorea; Rhabditida; Rhabditidae. The record is from RNAcentral.
UUUUCGCAUUUAGCUAGCUCG